CAGUGUGGAUUUGUAAAACGU
RNAcentral lists this microRNA (21 nucleotides) under Drosophila pseudoobscura pseudoobscura. RNAcentral describes it as "mir-2567c-RA". The record is from RNAcentral. Lineage: Eukaryota; Metazoa; Arthropoda; Insecta; Diptera; Drosophilidae.